This 261-nucleotide ribosomal RNA is filed under the name uncultured Pseudomonas sp. Its description in RNAcentral is "partial 16S ribosomal RNA". It matches the Rfam family "Bacterial small subunit ribosomal RNA", at positions 1123 to 1382 of the family's 1533-position model. Lineage: Bacteria; Pseudomonadati; Pseudomonadota; Gammaproteobacteria; Pseudomonadales; Pseudomonadaceae. The record is from RNAcentral.
ACGUUAUGGUGGGCGACUCUAAGGAGACUGCCGGUGACAAACCGGAGGAAGGUGGGGAUGACGUCAAGUCAUCAUGGCCCUUACGGCCUGGGCUACACACGUGCUACAAUGGUCGGUACAAAGGGUUGCCAAGCCGCGAGGUGGAGCUAAUCCCAUAAAACCGAUCGUAGUCCGGAUCGCAGUCUGCAACUCGACUGCGUGAAGUCGGAAUCGCUAGUAAUCGUGAAUCAGAAUGUCACGGUGAAUACGUUCCCGGGCCUU